AAGUGUGUAUUGUAUGGCCGCCAAUUUGCAGAGGCGUGGACUCGUGAGCUUAGGGAAACGAGUUGUGAACCAGAUCAGCUACGCUAGUGGUCGAACUUCUGCUAACUCACCUUCACUCUCUGGCAGGUAUUACUUCUAAAUUUCUGUCUGUAUGUUGUUUUGUCCUUUUACGGCUGCUUAUUUACCUAUUGAUCAGUGUUUGCUUU
Molecule: long non-coding RNA, 206 nt
Filed under: Nicotiana benthamiana
Lineage: Eukaryota; Viridiplantae; Streptophyta; Magnoliopsida; Solanales; Solanaceae
Description: long non-coding RNA (NBEN_LNC020365)
Source: RNAcentral